ACCUGGUUUAGGUCGGUAUCCUGGUAUAUAGGAUGAUGCUAUGUUAGUGACCUGGUUUAGGUCGGUAUCCUGGUAUAUAGGAUGAUCCUAUGUUAGUGACAUGGUUUAGGUUGGUAUCCUGGUAUAUAGGAUGAUGCUAUGUUAGUGACCUGGUUUAUGUCGGUAUCCUGGUAUAUAGGAUGAUGCUAUGUUAGUGACCGGUUAGGUCGAUAUCAUGGUAACGAUGAUGCUAUGCUUUAUGAUCUGCUAGAUCGAUUUGUUUGCCAAUGGAUUGUUAUGUGAUUUCCUGUUAUAUGUACACAUGGUUAUUUGCUUGAUGUUUGGGUUGAGGCGAUCCUGCUUUGUGCUGAAGGCCAACAUACCCUACGAGCGGCCCUGAUAGAUUGUAGGCCUGCAUGGCGGUCCAGUCAUACCGAAGGCUUGGAUAGAUCCAGAUAGACUGAAGGCCCGGUGCGGGCGGUCCAGUCAUACUGUAGACUCAGAGAGUGGACCAGGUGAACUGAAGGCCUGUUGAGGGCGGACCAGUCACGCUACAGACUUGAGAGGCAUGGAUGUUCUGUAUUGUGAUCUAAGCAGUUAAUAUCGGCGAUUUCCAGGUGAUUUCCAGGUGGGAUAUCGGUUAUCGGUACUUUUAAAAAUAGCGGUGUCAAAUAUCGGUCCAAAAUAUCGGACCGCAAAUAUCGGUGAUAUGUACUGAUAUUUACCGAUAUUUCCAGGCGAUUUCCAGGUGGGAUAUCAGUUAUGUAAUUUUACUUGCUUUUUUUUAGUGUUAAGUCAUGGCCUUAAGUCUUAUGGACUUAACUUAACUGAACCUGCUAUUAUGUUAAGUACUCAAUUGUUAGUUUUAGGUCAUAGACUCAUGUUUUAAGUAUUAACCGAUCUUAUUGUUAUGUUAAUUGUUACAUACUUAAGUGUUAACUUGCUAGUUUCUAUAGGUCUGAUCAUGUUGAUGUGUUAAGUACAUAAUUCUUAAAUGAUGAUGAUGAUAUUAGAGUUGAUGUGGAUGAUCUAGAUAAAAUAAUUAGAUGCCUUGGUUGAUGUGGACUUGGAGGAAGAUUCCAUUGCUUACGUAAGAUUAGGUUUCAAACAUUGACAGUUUUGAAUUUUGACUUUUUAUAUUACUUUUAUAUAUGUUUUAUGUUUAUAUAUAGUAAUUAUUCAUGAUAUAAAAAUAUCGAUAUCCCACUGCGAUAACCUAUAUCCCAAAUAUCGGCCCUUGACCGAUAUUUGAUUUUCGACCGCUAUAACUGCCUAGAUUGUGAUACAAUAUGUUAUGAUUAUGUUUGUAUGUGGUUGGUAUUUUGGGGGUAACUCACUAAGCUUUUGGGCUUACAGUUCAGUGUAUUGUUUCAGGUACUUCAGGAGAUUGUGGCAAGGCGAAGGCGUGAUUGUAUCGCUCCUUAUGUUUUAUGAUCCAUAUGAUAUGGUUCUGGGGAAUACUCUGAUAUUUAAACUAUUUUGAAAAUAAGAUGUAUGAACUUAAUGGUUUUUGAAUGAAAUAAAAUGUUUUAAAUUGGCUCAAGUUUUUUUUCGUUACAAGUUGGUAUCAGAGCCUUGGUUUGAGUGAAUUGGAGGAACAUUCGUGUGAAUCCAGUCUCAAAUCAAGGAGGGAUUUACAAAAUGGUUUUCAAAAGGUUUUCGAAAUAAGUAAAGGAGGAUGCAGAGGGUACGAUCAGCCAGAGCCAGUAAGUAGACCCCAAAAUACCACACAAGUUAUUUGAUUAUGUGAUAUGUUAGAACAUCAUGCUAGUACUAGGCUAGGGAUCUUCAGGGAUCGCAUGAUAGAAUUGCUUGAUUUCAUGAUGCCUGUUAGCCUAGGGUUUUCCUUAUAUGAAAUUCACAUCCUUACUGUAGUUGUUUAGUGUAUGCAUCACGGUUGUGCAUAAUCAAGAUCUUAUAGCCUGAGAAUGUUCGAUUCGACCUUAAGGUAGAAUUGGAUAUUCGAAAGUCUAUCGGGUCAAGUGUUAUGUGUGGCUAGUAUACACUAAUGCUAUAGGGUCGGUGGAAGUUUCAUGGAUUGGGUGGGUUGUGAGAGGCCGGGAGGCCAGAUAUGUGAUGUUUAGCAUUCAUCUAGGAGUGAGGAUUUAAUCGCUCGCUACAUUUAUGUAUAUUGUUAGGGUGUUGUGAUGAUACUUGAGACAAAUAUGGGUAGGUGUGGAAGGUAGUAUGGGCCCGUACUACUGAAAGCACAGGACCCAUACGCGUGGCAAGGAAGUCACAACCCCUAGGGUUGGGUUUUGGAGUUGUUUCCCUGUCAUUAUAUAGGUUAAUAGAGACCUUUUGGUGUAUUGUCAGAAUGGUGGUCACAAGACGUCUUGUGACCGGAUCCAGGUUAGGAUCGGGAGCUGGCAGCCAGGAUAGGUCAACAUUGUCAGGGGAUCGUGUCAGGGAUAUCCUCCGGGAGGAGACAAUCGAUAUUGUUAGGGGAUAAAUUCCGUAGAUGAUUGGGUCUUUCAAGACCGCUAUGGUUGAGUAUUUUGUCGAGCGUCAUGCAGACAUUGCUGAGACGGUUGUCGCAGCAGCUUUAGUAGCUGUAACAUCGACAGGGAGAGGAGCUGGACGAGCUUUCCAGGACCGGGACAUGUUAUCGGUACAUAAUCUGAUGAGCAGAAGGAUACAAUUAUCUGGUAGCAAGAAGAUGACAUGUACUCGUUAUAUUUCCGCGGGUUGAGCGGGAGAGUCUAGCUUGUGGUUUAUAGAUUUGAGGCUCGGGGUUUUGCUCGAGGCUAGGUUAUGGGUCAUGAGAACUUCAGAAAGGAGUGAUGAUUAUGUUCAGCUGGGGUUUUGCAGCUGGAAGUGAAAUGGUUGAUUGAUGAAUUGGACCGGCGUUUGGUAGGGCAAGGAUUGCACCCUCUCAGUUUUCGAGCUCGAAGGAGUGAGCAGGAUUGUGACCCCAGGAUUAGGUGUAAUCCAGCUCGGAGUCAGUUGGUUAUAGGAAUAGGCAACAUUAUUUCAGUGUCGGUGAGCUCAGGACGGUCGGCAUGGCAUAAGUGUUGUGAGGUCCGAUUUUCCUUGGAUCUCUUGUAUCGGAUGGAAAGGAUUGAUUGUGUGAUCUAUUGUACUUUUAAGACUGUAGACUAUGUCUUGGGAGUGGUUUGUAGCCUAGUUUAGGGCAGAGGUUGUUUCAGCUGUGGGCGUUUGAGUUGGUGAGUGAGUCAGGGUGUGAACCCUGAAGAGAAUGAUUUCUAAAGCCCGAAAGCGGGAAGCUUGUUUGGAACACCUUUGGAAAAGGGGUUUAUGUGGAAGGACUACGGAUGGAGUCCCACAAAAGGGUUAUUCAUCAUUGUCAGGAUUCAGUGGUUAGCAACCAUUAGUGGUUGACAGAUUAAAAGCACCAAGAGAAGUAACUCAUUGCCGAGAUAUUAGUUGGAGCAUCUAUAUGGUGGUCUUCAGGAAGUGAGUGUGGAGUCAUUCACGCAUUAGUGGCUAUCGGUUUCAUAGGGAUUCAUGAGUGAUCAUCCGAUUCUUAGAAGUGUGUGAUGAGUCGGGUCUAGCUAGCAAUGGAACACUAGUGGGAAAGAGUUGGUUGUCAUCGGAUAAAUCAUUGGGAAGUGAGGAGGAUUGAGAAUCCUCCAAUCUUCAUGUAUUAUGAAGGCUUAGUUGAAUCUAAGUGGGGGAGUGUUACCCUGAGAUGUUGAAGUGGAAAGGUUUUGAAACGGGGAUAAGUUUCACAACCCGACAGGGAGAACAGAGGCCCUAUUGGAUGCUUAGUUAAGGGUUGUGUUGUUUGGGGGUCGGCAAAACUCCCCAGCAUAAGAACACGUCUUCUGGAUGCUUGAUAGCAAAAGUUGGGUAACCAUGUUGGGGUCCUAGUCAAGAAUCGGGUUCAGCUCGAGUUUUCAGUCGAGGGUGUGCUCGACUCUGAGGGUUUUGUUAGAUGUCAGGUCUCAGCAGUGCAUUUAGCACGAGAGUGCAGGUUAUUUAGCGUGUAUGGUAGACACGCGGGCCAGAGAAUAGACCUCGCAUUUCUGAGAAGGUGGGCGAUUGACUGAAGGCCUGGUAGGGCGGUCCAGUCAUGCUGAAGACUCUGUUUAUGUUUGUAGAUUUAUGUUCGAGUAUUGAGUAGGUUGCUACGCUUUAGCACUCAAUAGGUCUGUUCCACGUUUUGAGCAUGCUGCUAGAGUAGGCUGAGGACUCCGGUGUAUCUUGGUUGAUCGGAAGUUAUUAUUUGGGUUCGGACGGAGUUCAAAUAAUCUUGGUGAUCUCAUCCGUUCGGAGUGUCUCCGAGGUUUCAUCUUCUUGGAUCAGAUAAUACUCCAGUUGGGGACCGAGAAUGGAUUCGAAUGGGCGUUUUAAUUAAAAUUUUGGAUCCAACGGUGUUGUUAGCCGAGAGUGGGGCAUGAUUGGAGCAAGUGAUAGAUAAGUGGGGCAGGAAACAGACCAUGGUUUCAGGAAAGGUAGUUGGUCGAUGUGAGGCUUGGUUUAGGCCAUGGAAAGGAUUCCGGGAACGGAACUGGAGUUCGGAACCCCAAGAGGGCUAGAACAGACUACAUGGGAGAGAUCCCCGAGAAGGAUGGUUCAGGGUGACGUACGAGAUUGUUCAGUGGCGGCAAUCGUGUCGGAGGUCGGAGCAGCUUGGUCUUAUCUUUUCAGUCAACAAUUUCAGGUGAGUUAUCCUCACUAUAUCAAUAGGGUCUAAGGCACCAAGGCCGGCCCUUUUAGUUGUUAUCUUGGUUACAAUAUGCUACAUGUGGUUAUAAUCUGUUAGAUUGGUAUCAGAAUAGACAGUAUGUUGUUAUGCUCUUGUGAUCCGUUAGGAUUGGUAUGUCAGUGACCUGGUUAGGUCGAUGCCUUGGUCAUGAGAGAUUGCUAUGAUCGAUGAUCUGUGAGAUAGUUAUAUCUGAUAUUUGUACUUGUACUGUUGAUGUGCUUAUUGAUCUGUUAGAUCAGCAUCUUGGUAAUUGGGGCAGUAUUAUGUUAGUGACCUAGUUUAGGUCGGUAUCCUGGUAUAUAGGAUGAUGCUAUGUUAGUGACCGGUUGGGUCGAUAUCCUGGUAAGGAUGAUGCUAUGCUUUAUGAUCUGCUAGAUCGAUUUUUUUGCCUAUGGACUGUUAUGUGAUUUCCUGUUAUAUGUACACAUGGUUAUUUGCUUGAUGUUUGGGUUGAGGCGGUCCUACUUUGUGCUGAAGGCCAACAUACCCUAUGAGCGGCCCGGAUAGAUUGUAGUCCCGCAUGGCGGUCCAGUCAUACCGAAGGCUCGGAUAGAUCUAGAUAGACUGAAGGCCUGGUGCGGGCGGUCCAGUCAUGCUGUAGACUCAAAGAGUGGACCAUGUGAACUGAAGGCCUGUUGAGGGCGGACCAGUCACGCUGCAGACUUGAGAGGCAUGGCUGUUCUGUAUUGUGAUACAAUAUGUUAUGAUUAUGGUUGUAUGUGGUUGGUAUUUUGGGGGUAACUCACUAAGCUUUGGGGCUUACAGUUCAGUGUAUUGUUUCAGGUACUUUAGGAGAUUAUGGCAAGGCGAAGGCGUGAGCGUACCGCUCCUCAUGUUUUAUGAUUCAUGUGAUAUGGUUCUGGGGGGAUACUCUGAUGUUUAAACUAUUUUGAAAAUAAGAUGUAUGAACUUAAUGGUUUUUGAAUGAAAUAAAAUGUUUUAAAUUGGCUCAAGUUUUUGGUUGUUACACUUAGUCCUUCACUUGAUUCACAUAUACAUGUGAACAAGGAACUAGUCUUAAUUUUCCAAAGAUGAAGGUUAUCAUUCAUCAUAAUAUACAACUUGC
This 5717-nucleotide long non-coding RNA is filed under the name Lactuca sativa (garden lettuce). RNAcentral's name for it is "long non-coding RNA (LSAT_LNC009336)". Lineage: Eukaryota; Viridiplantae; Streptophyta; Magnoliopsida; Asterales; Asteraceae. The record is from RNAcentral.